CCCUUAGAUGUCCUGGGCCGCACGCGCGCUACAAUGACUCACUCAGAAAGUUUUUCCUGAUCCGGAAGGAUUCGGGUAAUCUUCAUAGCAUGAGUCGUGUUAGGGAUCGAUCUUUGCAAUUAUAGAUCUUGAACGAGGAAUGCCCAGUAAGUGCAGCUCAUCAGGCUGUACUGAUUACGUCCCUGCCCUUUGUACACACCGCCCGUCGCUCCUACCGAUUGAGUGGUCCGGUGAACCUUCUGGAUUAAGCAGCAAUGCUUGAGAAGUUAGGUAAACCUUAUCACUUAGAGGAAGGAGAAGUCGUAACA
Molecule: ribosomal RNA, 308 nt
Filed under: uncultured eukaryote
Lineage: Eukaryota
Description: partial 18S ribosomal RNA
Rfam family: Eukaryotic small subunit ribosomal RNA
Source: RNAcentral